AUGUUGGUAUCUUAGUGGCGGACGGGUGAGUAACGCGUGGGUAACCUGCCUUACACUGGGGGAUAACACUUAGAAAUAGGUGCUAAUACCGCAUAACAGGGAAAGAUGCAUGUCUUUUCCUUAAAAACUCCGGUGGUGUAAGAUGGACCCGCGUCUGAUUAGCUUGUUGGCGGGGUAACGGCCCACCAAGGCGACGAUCAGUAACCGGCCUGAGAGGGUGAACGGCCACAUUGGGACUGAGACACGGCCCAAACUCCUACGGGAGGCAGCAG
Molecule: ribosomal RNA, 272 nt
Filed under: uncultured bacterium
Lineage: Bacteria
Description: partial 16S ribosomal RNA
Rfam family: Bacterial small subunit ribosomal RNA
Source: RNAcentral